GAUGAACGCUGGCGGCGUGCCUAAUACAUGCAAGUCGAGCGAACAGAUGAGGAGCUUGCUCCUCUGACGUUAGCGGCGGACGGGUGAGUAACACGUGGAUAACCUACCUAUAAGACUGGGAUAACUUCGGGAAACCGGAGCUAAUACCGGAUAAUAUAUUGAACCGCAUGGUUCAAUAGUGAAAGACGGUUUUGCUGUCACUUAUAGAUGGAUCCGCGCCGCAUUAGCUAGUUGGUAAGGUAACGGCUUCCCAAGGCAACGAUGCGUAGCCGACCUGAGAGGGUGAUCGGCCACACUGGAACUGAGACACGGUCCAGACUCCUACGGGAGGCAGCAGUAGGGAAUCUUCCGCAAUGGGCGAAAGCCUGACGGAGCAACGCCGCGUGAGUGAUGAAGGUCUUCGGAUCGUAAAACUCUGUUAUUAGGGAAGAACAAAUGUGUAAGUAACUAUGCACGUCUUGACGGUACCUAAUCAGAAAGCCACGGCUAACUACGUG
This 497-nucleotide ribosomal RNA is filed under the name uncultured bacterium. Its description in RNAcentral is "partial 16S ribosomal RNA". It matches the Rfam family "Bacterial small subunit ribosomal RNA", at positions 28 to 507 of the family's 1533-position model. The record is from RNAcentral.